Molecule: ribosomal RNA, 496 nt
Filed under: uncultured bacterium
Lineage: Bacteria
Description: partial 16S ribosomal RNA
Rfam family: Bacterial small subunit ribosomal RNA
Source: RNAcentral
GAUGAACGCUGGCGGCGUGCCUAAUACAUGCAAGUCGAGCGAACAGAUGAGGAGCUUGCUCCUCUGACGUUAGCGGCGGACGGGUGAGUAACACGUGGAUAACCUACCUAUAAGACUGGGAUAACUUCGGGAAACCGGAGCUAAUACCGGAUAAUAUAUUGAACCGCAUGGUUCAAUAGUGAAAGACGGUUUUGCUGUCACUUAUAGAUGGAUCCGCGCCGCAUUAGCUAGUUGGUAAGGUAACGGCUUACCAAGGCAACGAUGCGUAGCCGACCUGAGAGGGUGAUCGGCCACACAGGAACUGAGAACCGGCCCAGACCCCUAGGGGGGGCAGCAGUAGGGAAUCUUCCGAAAUGGGCGAAAGCCUGACGGAGCAACGCCGGGUGAGUGAUGAAGGUCUUCGGAUCGUAAAACCCUGUUAUUGGGGAAGAAAAAAUGUGUAAGUAACUAUGCACGUCUUGACGGUACCAAAUAAAAAAGCCACGGCUAACUACGU